Molecule: long non-coding RNA, 1489 nt
Organism: Capra hircus (goat)
Lineage: Eukaryota; Metazoa; Chordata; Mammalia; Artiodactyla; Bovidae
Exons: 2
Source: RefSeq, a predicted model, not a curated record
AAAAAAAUCCAGGAAAAACAACCUGGAACAGCUACUGUCUUUUAAGAGUUGGGAAAGAGAGACAUCCCUGGUGGCGCAGUGGUAAAGGCUCUGCCAGGGUUUGAUCCCCGCUUGGGGCAGAUCCUGCGGACAUGCCGAGAAGCAGCUCAGCCUGUGCUCUGGAGCCCGGGAACCGCAGACACCGAGUCCAUGCGCUGCAGCUGCCGAAGCCCUCGGGCCCCGGGGCCUGUGCUCCGCAACGAGAAGCCACUGCGAGGAGGAGCUGGAGCACCGCAGCCGGAUGGUAGCCCCUGCUCACGGCAGCAAGAGAAGAGGCCGUGCAGCCACAAAGACCCAGCACAGCGCAACCAGGGCACCACUCCCAAAGGCAGCCCAAGCAUCUGCUUCAAGGAGAAUUCAGGAGGCAGUGUACAUGUUUUUAUUUUCAAAAGCCUCACUCUUCAUUAGACUGAAUGGUAGAAUGCUUUAAAAAAGCACAACUGGGGAUUUAAAGUUCCCCUUUUCAUCUUUAUUUCCUCAGGGAGAAAAAAAUGCUGGUGGUUGACAUUGCGAAGGCAAGGCCUCAAGAGUUAGGUAGGAGGAUCUAUAUAUAUAUAUCUCUGUGAUCAACAGCCCUGCUUCCUCGCCUCCUUAGCUGCUAGAGACAGGCUGCUGCUUCCAGAUGUGGGAAGGGGUGGUGCGUGUGAGCAAACGCCUGGUGCACAGCACAGAGCUCCAAAUCAUUUGCCCAACAGGCUUCUUCUAUGGAUGAUCUCUCAGGUUUGUUAGAAGCAGCUCUGGAAAUCCGGAUCAGUAAACUGCAAAAAAGAGUCCCUUACGAACAGCAGCCGGAGACCAAGGCUGGCCUUGGACACAUGGCAAGCAGCCCUCCUCAAGCCUGUGCUGAACGGUGUCUCACCCCACCCUCAGUCAAAGAUAAGAAACAAGCAAACUGACCAUGGAUGGCUGGAGGGCAUCGACACUGACUGCAGGAUACAUGACGCUGAAAACAGGCAGCAGCCUCUUCAUAUGGAGUGUCUAGCUACUCCCUGGCUUCCCCACUGUUGUGAAGAAGAAUUUGGCUGAUCUUUGUUGCCAGUUCCUGGGAGGGAACCUCUAAACUUUCAGAACUUCCUUGAUGAUAGGAGUGUCUUUGUUAUUAAUGGUGGACCCCUUGGAUCUCAACUUUUUGCUUAAUGAGGUGACUCAUGGUGGGCCCUAGAUAGUUUCAGGAUGGGCUGGCUGUGGCUGAAAGAUCAGCCAUGAGAUUAGAAAUUUGGGGCCCUGAGUCAUCUGAUAUCUGACAUCCUGGGGUGGGGAGAGGAGAAGGUGGAGAUUGAGUUCAAUCACAUAGUUUCUGGUCGGUGACAGACAGUGAUAUGCUGGGCGGGUGAUGCAUCCUGGGGACACAGAAGUAGCAGGUUGGAUACCUUUGCAGACCUUGCCCUAUAUGUCCUUUCUUUUAUCUGGUCCUUAUUUGUAUCUUUUACAAUAAAAGGCAUUCAAAGUA